RNAcentral lists this long non-coding RNA (452 nucleotides) under Bos taurus (domestic cattle). RNAcentral describes it as "long non-coding RNA NONBTAT021666". Lineage: Eukaryota; Metazoa; Chordata; Mammalia; Artiodactyla; Bovidae. The record is from RNAcentral.
GAUAUUUGCUAACAUUGAAAUGUUUGAAAAUAAAAUCAGCAGCCAGGAAUUAAAAUCAGAGGUGGGAAAGUUGUAUUUAUCUAAAAUGUGAAAUUGGAGAAAUACACAAAACCCCAAAGAUAUAUGUUAAGUCGUUUAGUCUUGUUCCAACAGUUGGAAUAUUUCCCAGCUGCGCCUUUCGCAGAUUCUUUUGUUUUCAUACCACUGGCUUCUGGAGUCCCCGAUUGGCAGGAUAUAGAAUUUUAAAUGAAUGCUAUUUGUGUGUGUUUAUGUAUGAAUGAAAAACACUGUUGCCGUCUGAGGGGUUCCCAGGAUAAAGCCUAGGCCCCAUCCUUCAGCCCUCACCCUCCGACAAGGACAGGCUACCUAACUCCAGUGUGAAGCGACCGUGGAGAGGCCGCGGUUCAGGUUCAAGCCGCCCGCAGAGACCGAGAACAAGUUUAACUUGAAUU